AAACGACUCUCGACAACGGAUAUCCCGGCUCUCGCAUCGAUGAAGAACGUAGCGAAAUGCGAUACUUGGUGUGAAUUGCAGAAUCCCGUGAACCAUCGAGUCUUUGAACGCAAGUUGCGCCCGAGGCCAUUUGGCUAAGGGCACGUCUGCCUGGGUGUCACGC
Molecule: ribosomal RNA, 163 nt
Filed under: Sium frigidum
Lineage: Eukaryota; Viridiplantae; Streptophyta; Magnoliopsida; Apiales; Apiaceae
Description: 5.8S ribosomal RNA
Rfam family: 5.8S ribosomal RNA
About the family: 5.8S ribosomal RNA (5.8S rRNA) is a component of the large subunit of the eukaryotic ribosome.
Source: RNAcentral